UAUGGGUAUAUCCGCCAUUUGUAAGGUAUCGAUGCUAGUGUGUUCAAUUUGGAGGAUUGUGUUGGUCUUAAAUGUGGUAAAAUGUUUUCCCUGUUUGUAGAAAGGACAUGGACAGCUUGUAGUGGACGUAUAACAAAGAGGUGUCGGAUGGUCUGGGUUGGAGCUGUGCGACGCAAAAACAUCACCUUUGGAAACAUAUCUCCGUUUAUGUAUGUCUGCUCUCGACAUUUUCAUAAAGGUCACCCUGCAUAUGAGAUGAUGGAGACUGACCCAGACUGGUCCCUCCAUCUGGGUCACACAGAAAUCUCUCGAUGUGCAACAGUGAUCGAGUACUCGACCGUGACAGCGAUGAUCGAUCACAUAAACGAUGAUCGAAAUGAUUAUUUUUUUAAAUAAUAAAACAAAAGACGUUAGAAGACAGAUAAUCAUGGCCUCAAAGUCACGUAAGUGAUGGCUGGUUUCCCUUUGAGAAGAACGAUGAAAAUACAGUUCAGGGUAAGCUGUACUGCGCCAAGCUGUCACAUACAUCUACAACAAAUAUAAUCCGCUAUCAUCUAAAAUGUGUACAUAAAAUAUUUGGCGAUAACAGAGCGGCAACUCAUACGAGCAUUGAAUCACCUGCCGUAAGACCUAAAUGCAACGCAGGCAGAACCGAGAAGACGACAAAGCUAUUCGCUGAAAUGGUGGUGAAAGGUUUGCUAGCCAUUAGUUUCAGCGACAGAGAAGGUUUACUUGUCCAGUGGUACCUGGCUGUUCCUGCAACAUCUGUUCCAGCGGAGCGAAUUUAUUCCACUUAAUGUGAACAGGCUGCGCACUCGGCUCUCAUCUGAGCACGUAGACCGACUUAUCUUUUUGAAUAGACAUUUGAAUGUUUCAUCGGUCGUGGUAAAUAUAAUAUCCAUUUUUUUUAAAUAAUAUUAUUUUCGUUUUGAGCUAAAGCCAUAGUUAAUAUAUCUGUUGGUUGUUGGCUGUUGGUCUCUGUUUUAUACCUUAUAAUUGUUGUUUGGUUAAACUUGGUGAACUUUUUUCUUAAUUUUUUAAAAACUACGUUUCACCGCUGGAUCAAAUAUGCUGCUAAAGUUAAACUG
Long non-coding RNA from Carassius auratus (goldfish), 1088 nucleotides. RefSeq lists it as uncharacterized. The record is from RefSeq and is a predicted model, not a curated record. The transcript is spliced from 3 exons. Lineage: Eukaryota; Metazoa; Chordata; Actinopteri; Cypriniformes; Cyprinidae.